UGGGGAAUUUUGGACAAUGGGCGCAAGCCUGAUCCAGCAAUGCCGCGUGAGUGAAGAAGGCCUUCGGGUUGUAAAGCUCUUUCAGUUGAGAAGAAAAGAUUGUGACUAAUAAUUGCAAUUCAUGACGGUAUCAACAGAAGAAGCACCGGCUAACUACGUG
Molecule: ribosomal RNA, 160 nt
Filed under: uncultured bacterium
Lineage: Bacteria
Also listed under: 2 other names
Description: partial 16S ribosomal RNA
Rfam family: Bacterial small subunit ribosomal RNA
Source: RNAcentral